RNAcentral lists this ribosomal RNA (468 nucleotides) under uncultured bacterium. Its description in RNAcentral is "partial 16S ribosomal RNA". It matches the Rfam family "Bacterial small subunit ribosomal RNA", at positions 28 to 507 of the family's 1533-position model. The record is from RNAcentral.
GACGAACGCUGGCGGCGUGCUUAACACAUGCAAGUCGAACGGAAAGGCCCUGCUUUUGUGGGGUGCUCGAGUGGCGAACGGGUGAGUAACACGUGAGUAACCUGCCCUUGACUUUGGGAUAACUUCAGGAAACUGGGGCUAAUACCGGAUAGGAGCUCCUGCUGCAUGGUGGGGGUUGGAAAGUUUCGGCGGUUGGGGAUGGACUCGCGUCUUAUCAGCUUGUUGUUGGGGUAGUGGCUUACCAAGGCUUUGACGGGUAGCCGGCCUGAGAGGGUGACCGGCCACAUUGGGACUGAGAUACGGCCCAGACUCCUACGGGAGGCAGCAGUGGGGAAUAUUGCACAAUGGGCGGAAGCCUGAUGCAGCAACGCCGCGUGCGGGAUGACGGCCUUCGGGUUGUAAACCGCUUUCGCCUGUGACGAAGCGUGAGUGACGGUAAUGGGUAAAGAAGCACCGGCUAACUACGUG